UGGGGAAUAUUGCACAAUGGGCGCAAGCCUGAUGCAGCCAUGCCGCGUGUAUGAAGAAGGCCUUCGGGUUGUAAAGUACUUUCAGCGGGGAGGAAGGGAGUAAUGUUAAUACCUUUGCUCAUUGACGUCACCCGCAGAAGAAGCACCGGCUAACUCCGUGCCAGCAGCCGCGGUAAUACGUAGGGCGCGAGCGUUGUCCGGAAUUAUUGGGCGUAAAGGGCUUGUAGGCGGCUUGUUGCGCCGGCUGUGAAAACGCGGGGCUUAACUUCGCGCGUGCAGUGGGUACGGGCAGGCUUGAGUGUGGUAGGGGUGACUGGAAUUCCACGUGUAGCGGUGGAAUGCGCAGAUAUCUGGAGGAACACCGAUGGCGAAGGCAGGUCACUGGACCAUUACUGACGCUGAGGAGCGAAAGCAUGGGUAGCGAACAGG
Molecule: ribosomal RNA, 429 nt
Filed under: Chloroflexota bacterium
Lineage: Bacteria; Bacillati; Chloroflexota
Description: Chloroflexi bacterium partial 16S ribosomal RNA
Rfam family: Bacterial small subunit ribosomal RNA
Source: RNAcentral